AUUGAACGCUGGCGGCAUGCCUUACACAUGCAAGUCGAACGGCAGCGGACCUUCGGGUGCCGGCGAGUGGCGAACGGGUGAGUAAUAUAUCGGAACGUACCUUUCAGUGGGGGAUAACGUAGCGAAAGUUACGCUAAUACCGCAUAUUCUGUGAGCAGGAAAGCAGGGGAUCGCAAGACCUUGCGCUGAUUGAGCGGCCGAUAUCAGAUUAGCUAGUUGGUGAGGUAAAGGCUCACCAAGGCGACGAUCUGUAGCGGGUCUGAGAGGAUGAUCCGCCACACUGGAACUGAGACACGGUCCAGACUCCUACGGGAGGCAGCAGUGGGGAAUUUUGGACAAUGGGCGCAAGCCUGAUCCAGCCAUGCCGCGUGUGUGAAGAAGGCC
RNAcentral lists this ribosomal RNA (384 nucleotides) under uncultured bacterium. Its description in RNAcentral is "bacterial SSU rRNA". It matches the Rfam family "Bacterial small subunit ribosomal RNA", at positions 30 to 416 of the family's 1533-position model. The record is from RNAcentral.